AAAAACUGGCAGAAUUUGCAGUGUGAUCAGCAAGUCUACGCUGAGGAUGCCCAUCUUCUCUGCCUCCUGACCCCAGCAUAAAGACAUGGGAUAUGUGAGAAAAGGAAUAGGAAAAAGCCAAAGAGACACCGGCUUACAUUAGAAAAUCUACUCAAAAUCACUCAAAGGAUUGACAACUGACAAAAUAAAUGGUGGCCAGAUGCAGUGGCUUAGGCCUGUAAUCCUAGCACUUUGGGAGGCCAAGGUGGAAGAACUGCUUGAGUCCAGGAGUUCAAGACCAGCCUGGACAACACGGUGAAACCGUGUCUCUACAAAAAACACAAAAACAUUAGCCAGGCAUAGUGGCAUGUGCCUGAAGUCUCAGCUACCCGGGAGGCUGAGGAGGAAGGAUCACCUGAGACCUGGAGGUUAAGACUUACAUUGAGCCACGAUCACACCAGCCCUCCAGCCUGGGUGCAAACCAGCUCUCCUCUACUAGAGUUUGGAAGACUUUCAACCAAUCAGUCGUUCAGAAAAUAAUACUGGAUACCUACUAAGUUCAAGGCAUUGUUUGUGCUAUAUGAACACAGCAAUGAACAACAAUAAUAACAAUAAAUAAACAAAAACUCAUCUAUACUCAUGGAGUUUACAGUCAAGGGGCCAAGAGAGAAAAUUAAGAAAUAAAAUGAAUGAACUCCUCAAUCUGAACAGAUCAAUGGUGUUCAUCAACCAAUGUCACGAUUUGAGCAGCCAAUACCAGUAUAUCUGCUUCUGACAACAAGCAAGACUGAAGUUAAUCCAUUUAGCAUGAUGAUGAAAAUGAAGUCAUCAAUGAAGUUGCAAGCUUAGGAUAUCCUUCACAUUAACCACCAGUAGCCCAACUAUUUAACUAAAGGAACUUUGUAAUAUCUGGACUCAGAAACUGAGAUAAAUGCCAUAACCAAUCAUCCAACCGGAGACUGAGGCUAGCAAUACAUAGUAUGAUACUCUGUCACGAUUUUGAGCAGCGGUAGCGAGCCUCAGAUUCCAGUUGGCCACAUGACCAUAAGGGUAACCAACUGAUACUCUACCAUGUACUAUGUUCCCAGAUGAUUUUGCCCAACUGUAGGCUAAGUGUUCUGCAGGCCAAAGCACCAUACUUUUGGAUAUCAUUUGCUGAAUCCCAAUGUUGGUAAAGCAUGAACUUGAAGUGGAACUUCAAAGAGGCAGAGUCAGCCAAGCCGAAAGUGAGGUUUGCCAAGAUUGAUCAUUGAUGUGAAAAGAUUAAUCAUAAGUGGAACAUGGCCUCCCAGCUACAGACUACAUUUACCAGCAUCCCUUGAAGCUAAGUAUGUUCAUGUGAUGAGAUUCUGGGCAACGGAGGAGGAGUGGAAUUUAUAUGUCACUUCCUUGAAGACACCUGCCAUGAACUCUUUCUCCAGCAGCGCUGAGGAGUGCGACAUUCAGGAAAUGGCAAUGCGGCAGUAAGGAAGGAAUCUGUGCCCUUUAAUGACCUAGAGGAGUAGAUCCACUUCGCCACCUGGACCGGCCAGACUAAUGUGAGAAAUACACUUCUAUCUAUGUAAGCCAGUACAUUUGGGGGUUUCUUUGUAAUAGCAUCUCAACCUCUAUCCAUGAAAAAAAAAAAAAAAAAAAAAAAAAAAAAA
This 1625-nucleotide long non-coding RNA is filed under the name Homo sapiens (human). RNAcentral describes it as "DIO2 antisense RNA 1 (DIO2-AS1)". The record is from RNAcentral. Lineage: Eukaryota; Metazoa; Chordata; Mammalia; Primates; Hominidae.